GACCGUGCAAAGGUAGCAUAAUCAUUUGCCUUAUAAUUGAAGGCUUGUAUGAAUGGUUUGACAAGAAUAAAGCUGUCUCUUUACAAAUAAAUAUAAUUUUAUUUACAGGUGAAGAAGCCUGUAUUAUAUUGAAAGACAAGAAGACCCUAUCGAGCUUUAAAUAAGUUAGUAUAAAGUAAAUCGUAUUUAUAUCGAGCUGGAUACUAAAAAUUUUAGUUGGGGCGACUAAGGAACAACUAAAGCUUCCUAAAAAUUUUAAGCGCUUUCAAGCUGUGAUCCAAAAGUUUUGAUUAAAGAAAUUAGUUACCGUAGGGAUAACAGCAUUAUCUUUUUUAAGAGUUCAAAUCGAAAAAAAGGUUUGUGACCUCGAUGUUGGACCAGAAUAUCCUGAAGAUGCAGCCGUCUUCAAGGGUUGGUCUGUUCGACCAUUAAAAUUCUACGUGAUCUGAGUUCAGACCGGCGUGAGCCAGGUCAGUUUCUAUCUUCUAUUUUUGAUAUGGACCUAGUACGAAAGGAUUGGUCUAUGAUAAUAGUUAUUCUCCUUGAUGUAGUAUAAAGGGUUAUUAAAUUAUUAAACACAAUAGAUCAAAUUAGCAAAGAUAAUGCAAUUGACUUAGGAUCAAUAGACAUAGGUGAAAUUCCUUUAUUUGAUACAAAUAUGAAGGUGGCAGAUGAA
The sequence is a ribosomal RNA, 676 nucleotides long. The stretch from base 1 to 524 matches the Rfam family "Bacterial large subunit ribosomal RNA", at positions 1944 to 2925 of the family's 2925-position model.